Molecule: long non-coding RNA, 2894 nt
Organism: Pogona vitticeps (central bearded dragon)
Lineage: Eukaryota; Metazoa; Chordata; Lepidosauria; Squamata; Agamidae
Source: Ensembl
AUGGACACGUCACCUUUUGCCUCCUCUGCUCAAGAUGCUGAGGGCGGCAGGUCUCCUUGGGCUGACGGCCCAUCCCGAGCUGCAAGAGCCCGAGAGCGCUCUUUCUGCCAGGGCAAGGAGCUGACAGCACAGCGGCAAAAAGAGCUGCCCAUCGCUGCCACCUUCCUGCUUGUUCCCCCCCCCCCGGGGACUCCCCCACUCCCACUCCAAGGCUCCUGCCUGAAGCAGCCCCUUGAUCACCAGACGCUUUGGAUCUUGCAGCUGUUUCGGCACAAAAUGCUAGGAAGCUUCCUUCCCCAGGGGCCUCAAUCUGGGCCGCUCACGGUCUUCCAUGCCUUGCGUGAGCCCUCGCCAGAAGACACGGAGGUUUGGGAAGGCAGGAGAGGGCAGGAACGGGCUCUUCUUCCUCUUCCCCUUUGCCCCAGCAACUGCAGGAGCCCCUGCAACUCUCCACGGAAAAAUAUCUUCAGCCACAAGGACAAGGUCCACCUGCUUCCAAGCUCCCGCUCUCUGUCCUCCCUCUCUUCCCCUUCAGCUGCUCAGGAGUGCAGGAGAACAAGCUGGCUGGCUGGCUGGGCUGAUCUGUGUCGGCUGUCGACGCUGCCCGCCAGCAGCCCUCCCAAGCAAGUCCUGGCGGUGCCACUCGACCAGCCCCUUUUCUUCAGCCGAGUGAGUGUGCUCCUCCGGGGAGUCCUGAAACAGAAGAGGAAACAGGGAAGCCAAUCAGGAGCGGACAGGCACGUACAGAGAGGUGCCCGGCACACCCCCAGCAAGAACCGAACUCUGCUUUCCGCCUUGCUCGGGGCUGGUUCUGCCUGGCCGUAAUCCAGGAUUAACCUACAAUCCCUGUUUAAGCAAAUUACUUGGAGGUUGGGUAGCAGCAGCACCAGCAGCAACUCCAAGCCUCUCUCUCUCUUGCUCUCUGUCCUCCCUCCCUCCCAAGGAAGCCUUCAGAACUCACCAACUUUGCAGACCCAACCUCCUGCUUCACGAGCCCGCAGAGGAAUGCUCACAGGAAACCAGUGCAACCGAACACACGCCACUGCGGCGGGCGGGCUUGCCGUUCGGCAGGAGGAGAGGAUCAAGUUUAACACACACACACCAUGCCCCUGUAGCCCAUUUAGAAAGGUCUGUUGCACCGGAGGGCCACCCCCCCUAACCUCCCCCCCCUCACCCAAUCCCCCAGAUAGCCCUCAAGGAACAAAGGCCACUGGGAGAAAUCCAGGAGAGACCGGCAGGCGGGCUGGGCUGGGCUGCUGGCUGACACCUGGGCAAUGGUACAGGCAGAGACACCAUGCCUGCCGGGGAGAGAAAAGGAAGCCAGCCCCGGCCCAGCCUGCCCUUUGCCUCCCGGGGCAGGAGGGCUGCCCCCCUGCCCCUUCAGAUAAGGCUCACACCUGACCCGGGCUUUGAACUCUCCUCCAGUGGCCUCUCACGACAAAGGCAGCCUGGAGGGCUAGGUGCCACAAAACACAGGGGCAUUGUUGCUACAACAGGCGUGUGCGCGUGGACGGACACACACACACACUCCCUCCUGCCCCUGUGUGGGUUUGUUGCUCUCAAUACCAAAAACAGCAACUCCGCACCUGUAAAGGACAAAAUCUCUGCUCACAUCAUGACUCUCUGAAGCCAGGGACAACGGGCUCCCGUUUCACAGGGAAGGGAGGAAUCCCGGUCGAGAGGCAGCCUGUGAUUCCACCAGAGCCACAGAUCUAGUCACUGGCCAGUAAGAUUUCAUUCAUUCAUUCAUUCAUAAUAUUUUUUUACCCAGCCUUUCUCCUUAAAAAGAACCCAAGGCAGUUUACAUAAUGAAAAGACAACAUUUGAAGCUAAAAACAGUGAGUAUACAAAUACAGUACUAAAAAAGGAUCAAAUACCACUCUAAGAAACAGUAAAAAGCAACACCGAAAAUACAUACAAAGCAGUCAUGCAUAGCAAUCUACUGUAUCUAAAAAUCACACACAGGUAAAUGCUUGCUAAAGCAAACCCUGCCUGAAGAGAAAGGUUGUCUUCGCCUGCUUGCAGAAGGGGCCAGGUCAGCCUCCAGUGGGAGGGAGUUCCAAAGUCUGGGAACGGUGUCAGAGAAGGCUUUAUAGUUUAGAAUUUAGCUGUUUGAAUUGGGCCUGAAAAUGGAUCGACAACCCAUGGAGCUGCAAUACGUGAUCCCGGUGACUAUGGAGUCCCAGUUAACAAUCUGGCUGCAGCAUUUUGAACCUGCUGAAAUUUCCGAACACUAUCCAGAGGCAGCCCUAGGUAAAGUGCAUUACAGUAAACCAGUUGGGAUGUCACUAAGGCCUGUGUCACUAUGGCCAGAUCAGACCUCUCCAGGAACAGAUGCAUCUGGCGCACUCAUUGUAAUUGUGCAAAUUUACUCCCAGCCACUGCUGAAAGACUGCCAUCUAUUUCCUACACUGGCCCAGCAUGAAAGAAUUGGGUACCAAAGCAUGCAACUGCCAUUUGUGACUAUUCUGCAUUACUGCUUUUUCCACCAGUCUGAGGAGCAAUUACUGUAACUAGCCUGCCAUUCACCUAAACGAGACCCAGGUAGCUUCUCUUGAUGCCGCUAGCUGGUAGCCAAGCAGGCAGGCCCCCGGCUUCCUCCCUAGGAGAAGGCGGUGCGGCGUGCAAGCAAGACAUGAGAGCCAGGAAGGCUCUCAGGUCAGGCUGCCUGUGAGCUUCUGCCACUAUUCUCUGUAUUAGUGGAAGAGCAGAGCGCUGGGCGACCUAAAAUGGCCUAUGAGUCGCUCAGGUGGAAGACGCCUCCCACUCAAGGAACCACCCAUGCGUUAGGCUCUGGCUGCUGCAGGAUUGGAACCAGCUGGCCUACCUGGAAGGGACUCUCCAGAAGCCUAACCCCCUCCCAAACCCGAAUAAACUGGGAAUGUCUAAAUGCA